AUGAACCUUCAGGAAAGACAGAUCCUAAAGUUGGCUUCACUUGGUAGUAACUAUGGAAACCUCAAGAAUGUUGUUGACGCCCUGAAGGCUUUUGAGUUGUAUUGUCAGGUUUUAUCAGGCAUGAAGGUGGCGUGGGCCAGCAAGGAGUCUGGGGGUUCAGCAGGACAUCCUUGCAGGAGUAGUCGAGCAGAGGCUGACACUAGCCAAUAUGACCAGCAUUGCCGCAGAUCGCCUCCAUGUGGGCUGCUGUUGCAAAGUCACGGUGCUGCACCUCAGCGAAUUCAGCAGGAGCAAUUCAUUCCCCACCCAAGUGUUUAUUAUUGA
This 324-nucleotide ribosomal RNA is filed under the name Triticum aestivum (bread wheat). RNAcentral's name for it is "partial small subunit ribosomal RNA". Lineage: Eukaryota; Viridiplantae; Streptophyta; Magnoliopsida; Poales; Poaceae. The record is from RNAcentral.